Syzygium oleosum is the source of this 197-nucleotide long non-coding RNA. RefSeq lists it as uncharacterized. Lineage: Eukaryota; Viridiplantae; Streptophyta; Magnoliopsida; Myrtales; Myrtaceae. The record is from RefSeq and is a predicted model, not a curated record. The transcript has 2 exons.
AAAGCUCCUCCAGGUUAUGUUGGUGAUUACAGCUGCCAAUAAGAGAGUGAACUAGAGGCAUUGCUUCCUAGGGAGAUCAUCUCCAUACAUUCAGAAUGCAGUAGGUGAAGAAGAAAUUGGUGAAGCUGGUGAACUAUGAUCUGGGAUAUCUCUCUAAAACUUUGGUCAAAGAAAUUGGUUGUUUAGAGCUAACGGGA